GGUGGCAAGCGUUGUCCGGAAUUAUUGGGCGUAAAGGGCUCGCAGGCGGUUUCUUAAGUCUGAUGUGAAAGCCCCCGGCUCAACCGGGGAGGGUCAUUGGAAACUGGGAAACUUGAGUGCAGAAGAGGAGAGUGGAAUUCCACGUGUAGCGGUGAAAUGCGUAGAGAUGUGGAGGAACACCAGUGGCGAAGGCGACUCUCUGGUCUGUAACUGACGCUGAGGAGCGAAAGCGUGCGGAGCGAACAGGAUUAGAUACCCUGGUAGUCCACGCCGUAAACGAUGAGUGCUAAGUGUUAGGGGGUUUCCGCCCCUUAGUGCUGCAGCUAACGCAUUAAGCACUCCGCCUGGGGAGUACGGUCGCAAGACUGAAACUCAAAGGAAUUGACGGGGGCCCGCACAAGCGGUGGAGCAUGUGGUUUAAUUCGAAGCAACGCGAAGAACCUUACCAGGUCUUGACAUCCUCUGACAACCCUAGAGAUAGGGCUUUCCCUUCGGGGACAGAGUGACAGGUGGUGCAUGGUUGUCGUCAGCUCGUGUCGUGAGAUGUUGGGUUAAGUCCCGCAACGAGCGCAACCCUUGAUCUUAGUUGCCAGCAUUCAGUUGGGCACUCUAAGGUGACUGCCGGUGACAAACCGGAGGAAGGUGGGGAUGACGUCAAAUCAUCAUGCCCCUUAUGACCUGGGCUACACACGUGCUACAAUGGACAGAACAAAGGGCUGCGAGACCGCAAGGUUUAGCCAAUCCCACAAAUCUGUUCUCAGUUCGGAUCGCAGUCUGCAACUCGACUGCGUGAAGCUGGAAUCGCUAGUAAUCGCGGAUCAGCAU
RNAcentral lists this ribosomal RNA (825 nucleotides) under Bacillus altitudinis. Its description in RNAcentral is "bacterial SSU rRNA". It matches the Rfam family "Bacterial small subunit ribosomal RNA", at positions 530 to 1355 of the family's 1533-position model. The record is from RNAcentral. Lineage: Bacteria; Bacillati; Bacillota; Bacilli; Caryophanales; Bacillaceae.